CAAACCAUUUUAUACUAGCUAUAGAGACUACCUCACUUUGCUAUUUGCUAUUUGUGGUGAGACGACCGCGUCAAUCAAUCCAAAAAAAAAAGUGAGGAAAACUCUAAAGAACUCCCUAAUUCUACUUUUUAUAGUAAAAAGAAAAAAAAAUCCUUUACAUCUGAUCUGAACUCCCUAUAAUAAGCAUUUCAUAAAUCGCCCCUCUCUCUCCCACUUCUUUCUCCUCCCACGCACACGGUUUCCAUGUUUAGAAAAGAAACACUUAUUUUGUUCACUUAGUGGUAAUAUUGGUUUACCAAAUAAUUUUAAGAAGUUCUUAGAGAUUCUCUCAGUAAGCUAUAUUUUCUCGC
RNAcentral lists this long non-coding RNA (350 nucleotides) under Sorghum bicolor (sorghum). Its description in RNAcentral is "long non-coding RNA (SBIC_LNC003299)". Lineage: Eukaryota; Viridiplantae; Streptophyta; Magnoliopsida; Poales; Poaceae. The record is from RNAcentral.